GAUGAAGAACGCAGUGAAAUGCGAUAAGUAAUGUGAAUUGCAGAAUUCAGUGAAUCAUCGAAUCUUUGAACGCACCUUGCGCCCUUUGGCUAUUCCGAAGGGCAUGCCUGUUUGAGUAUCAUGAACAUCUCAACUCCUCACGGUUCGCCCGUGACGAGCUUGGACUUUGGGGGUCUUGCCGGCCUGCGGGUCGGCUCCUCUCAAAUGAAUCAGCUUGCCGGUGUUUGGUGGCGUCACAGGUGUGAUAAAUAUCUACGCUUGUGGUUUUCCGCCAGGUAACCUCCAGCGAUGGGGGUUCACUGGAGCUCACGAAUGUCUCUCCUCGGUGAGGACAGCUCUUUGAACGUUUGAUCUCAAAUCAGGUAGGGCUACCCGCUGAACUUAAGCAUAUCAAUAAGCGGAGGA
RNAcentral lists this unclassified non-coding RNA (405 nucleotides) under soil metagenome. Its description in RNAcentral is "partial contains 5.8S ribosomal RNA, internal transcribed spacer 2, and large subunit ribosomal RNA". The stretch from base 1 to 121 matches the Rfam family "5.8S ribosomal RNA", at positions 35 to 154 of the family's 154-position model. The record is from RNAcentral.